Molecule: ribosomal RNA, 342 nt
Filed under: uncultured soil bacterium
Lineage: Bacteria
Description: bacterial SSU rRNA
Rfam family: Bacterial small subunit ribosomal RNA
Source: RNAcentral
AGAGUGAACGCUGGCGGUAGGCCUAACACAUGCAAGUCGAGCGGUAGAGAGGUGCUUGCACCUCUUGAGAGCGGCGGACGGGUGAGUAAUGCCUAGGAAUCUGCCUAGUGGUGGGGGAUAACGUUCGGAAACGGACGCUAAUACCGCAUACGUCCUACGGGAGAAAGCGGGGGACCUUCGGGCCUCGCGCCAUUAGAUGAGCCUAGGUCGGAUUAGCUAGUUGGUGAGGUAAUGGCUCACCAAGGCGACGAUCCGUAACUGGUCUGAGAGGAUGAUCAGUCACACUGGAACUGAGACACGGUCCAGACUCCGUACGGGAGCAGCAGUGGGAAUAGUGGACAA